Molecule: ribosomal RNA, 430 nt
Filed under: Pseudomonadota bacterium
Lineage: Bacteria; Pseudomonadati; Pseudomonadota
Description: Proteobacteria bacterium partial 16S ribosomal RNA
Rfam family: Bacterial small subunit ribosomal RNA
Source: RNAcentral
UGGGGAAUAUUGGACAAUGGGCGAAAGCCUGAUCCAGCCAUGCCGCGUGUGUGAAGAAGGUCUUAUGGUUGUAAAGCACUUUAAGCGAGGAGGAGGGUACUGGUAUUAAUACUACCAGCUACUGGACGUUACUCGCAGAAUAAGCACCGGCUAACUCUGUGCCAGCAGCCGCGGUAAUACAGAGGGUGCGAGCGUUAAUCGGAUUUACUGGGCGUAAAGCGUGCGUAGGUGGUUCGUUAAGUUGAAUGUGAAAGCCCCGGGCUCAACCUGGGAACUGCAUCCAAAACUGGCGAGCUAGAGUAGGGCAGAGGGUGGUGGAAUUUCCUGUGUAGCGGUGAAAUGCGUAGAUAUAGGAAGGAACACCAGUGGCGAAGGCGACCACCUGGGCUCAUACUGACACUGAGGUGCGAAAGCGUGGGGAGCAAACAGG